Molecule: ribosomal RNA, 468 nt
Filed under: uncultured bacterium
Lineage: Bacteria
Description: partial 16S ribosomal RNA
Rfam family: Bacterial small subunit ribosomal RNA
Source: RNAcentral
GACGAACGCUGGCGGCGUGCUUAACACAUGCAAGUCGAACGGAAAGGCCCUGCUUUUGUGGGGUGCUCGAGUGGCGAACGGGUGAGUAACACGUGAGUAACCUGCCCUUGACUUUGGGAUAACUUCAGGAAACUGGGGCUAAUACCGGAUAGGAGCUCCUGCUGCAUGGUGGGGGUUGGAAAGUUUCGGCGGUUGGGGAUGGACUCGCGGCUUAUCAGCUUGUUGGUGGGGUAGUGGCUUACCAAGGCUUUGACGGGUAGCCGGCCUGAGAGGGUGACCGGCCACAUGGGGACUGAGAUACGGCCCAGACUCCUACGGGAGGCAGAAGUGGGGAAUAUUGCACAAUGGGCGGAAGCCUGAUGCAGAAACGCCGCGUGCGGGAUGACGGCCUUCGGGUUGUAAACCGCUUUCGCCUGUGACGAAGCGUGAGUGACGGUAAUGGGUAAAGAAGCACCGGCUAACUACGUG